Molecule: ribosomal RNA, 374 nt
Filed under: uncultured organism
Description: partial 16S ribosomal RNA
Rfam family: Bacterial small subunit ribosomal RNA
Source: RNAcentral
GUAGGUGGCAAGCGUUGUCCGGAAUUAUUGGGCGUAAAGCGCGCGCAGGCGGUCCUUUAAGUCUGAUGUGAAAGCCCACGGGCUCAACCGUGGAGGGUCAUUGGAAACUGGGGGACUUGAGUACAGAAGAGGAAAGCGGAAUUCCAAGUGUAGCGGUGAAAUGCGUAGAGAUUUGGAGGAACACCAGUGGCGAAGGCGGCUUUCUGGUCUGUAACUGACGCUGAGGCGCGAAAGCGUGGGGAGCAAACAGGAUUAGAUACCCUGGUAGUCCACGCCGUAAACGAUGAGUGCUAAGUGUUAGGGGGUUUCCGCCCUUUAGUGCUGCAGCUAACGCAUUAAGCACUCCGCCUGGGGAGUACGGCCGCAAAGGCUGA